ACUGCGAGUGAGCGGGAAAAGCUCCAAAUUUAAAAUCUGGCGGCCUCCGGUCCGUCCGAGUUGUAGUCUGGAGAAGCGUUUUCCGCGUCGGACCGUGUAUAAGUUUCCUGGAACGGAGCGUCAUAGAGGGUGAGAAUCCCGUCUUUGAACACGGACUGCGAUGCUUUGUGAUGCGCUCUCGAAGAGUCGAGUUGUUUGGGAAUGCAGCUCAAAAUGGGUGGUGAAUUCCAUCUAAAGCUAAAUAUUGGCGAGAGACCGAUAGCGAACAAGUACCGUGAGGGAAAGAUGAAAAGCACUUUGGAAAGAGAGUUAAACAGUACGUGAAAUUGUUGAAAGGGAAACGAUUGAAGUCAGUCGCGUCCGCCGGGACUCACCCUUGCAUUCUUGCUCGGUGUACUUUCCGGUGGACGGGCCAGCAUCAAUUUUGACCGUCGGAAAAGGAUCUGGGAAAUGUGGCACCUUUCGGGGUGUGUUAUAGUCCCCGGUCGCAUACAACAGUCGGGAUUGAGGAACUCUCCAUGCCUUUAUGGUCGGGGUUCUCCCACAUUCU
Molecule: ribosomal RNA, 550 nt
Filed under: Heterobasidion annosum
Lineage: Eukaryota; Fungi; Basidiomycota; Agaricomycetes; Russulales; Bondarzewiaceae
Description: eukaryotic LSU rRNA
Rfam family: Eukaryotic large subunit ribosomal RNA
Source: RNAcentral